RNAcentral lists this ribosomal RNA (465 nucleotides) under uncultured Klebsiella sp. RNAcentral describes it as "bacterial SSU rRNA". It matches the Rfam family "Bacterial small subunit ribosomal RNA", at positions 338 to 795 of the family's 1533-position model. The record is from RNAcentral. Lineage: Bacteria; Pseudomonadati; Pseudomonadota; Gammaproteobacteria; Enterobacterales; Enterobacteriaceae.
CCUACGGGCGGCUGCAGUGGGGAAUAUUGCACAAUGGGCGCAAGCCUGAUGCAGCCAUGCCGAGUGUGUGAAGAAGGCCUUCGGGUUGUAAAGCACUUUCAGCGGGGAGGAAGGCGGUGAGGUUAAUAACCUCAUCGAUUGACGUUACCCGCAGAAGAAGCACCGGCUAACUCCGUGCCAGCAGCCGCGGUAAUACGGAGGGUGCAAGCGUUAAUCGGAAUUACUGGGCGUAAAGCGCACGCAGGCGGUCUGUCAAGUCGGAUGUGAAAUCCCCGGGCUCAACCUGGGAACUGCAUUCGAAACUGGCAGGCUAGAGUCUUGUAGAGGGGGGUAGAAUUCCAGGUGUAGCGGUGAAAUGCGUAGAGAUCUGGAGGAAUACCGGUGGCGAAGGCGGCCCCCUGGACAAAGACUGACGCUCAGGUGCGAAAGCGUGGGGAGCAAACAGGAUUAGAUACCCCAGUAGUC